This is a long non-coding RNA of Triticum dicoccoides, 2398 nucleotides long. RefSeq lists it as uncharacterized. NCBI's taxonomy places the organism in Eukaryota, Viridiplantae, Streptophyta, Magnoliopsida, Poales, Poaceae. The transcript has 4 exons. The record is from RefSeq and is a predicted model, not a curated record.
CGACCUACCUCCAUCCCGGCGCGCCGCCCCUCACCACUCCCCUGCGGUCCUCUGUCCCGGUGCGCUGUCCCUCACCACCCCCUGUGAUCCUUUGUCCCGGCGCGCUGUCCCUCAUCACCACUCUUGUGCGACCCUGCAUCCAGGCGCGCCGCCCCUCGUCACCGCUCCCCUGAGACCAACGACGGAUCCAAGGUAUGGACACGCACACCAAGCCUGCCACCAAGUUUGAGAUUUUUUUUGACAAGCACACGCAACCGUAUCACUCGUUCCAUCCAGCAACAGUAGCAGCCGUGCCGGCCACUGGCGGAUCCAUGUUAGGUCGUGGGUGUACAUUUGUACAGCCAAUUUAUUUUGCAGGUAUAGUAGACAUAUGUAUUAAUAGCAGUGUCAGUGUUGUUUGAGCAAGGAACAUCACGUCAAUUCAUAUAACCUGGGCCUCAAACUCUACUCCAACAAGCAUCUUAGUUUAAAAGUAUCUCCUGCAAUUCCCAGUUGGUCCAUCGCCACUAGCUUGAUUCCCUUACGUUGAGCCCCAAAGCCUAAUACAAGGGUUGGUGUUGCUAGCUUCAUCACCUUGCUGGUACAGAAGGUCAUGAUUAACAUCAAGCCAUACACGGUGAUGUUACUGACAUUACUUUACACUCCUGUUCUGAAGGAAAGGAGUUCUGCAGCCAACAGGGCCUUUGCGUCUUCUUGUGCUGCAGUUCUCAAAUAUGCCAGCCAAUCUCAGGCUUAGAAACUUAUUAAAGACACCGCUUCUCUGCAUUUAGGUGAAAAACUUUUGAGUUAUCUGGUGCAGUUCUUAUUAAAUCCUACUUAGCAAUGUAGCAGUUGUUAUUAGUGGAUACAAUGAAGUGGUUAUCCCUGUAAUUUUUCCUUCAAGGUAUGUGAAUGACAUAUCUUAAGUCUUAAUCUUUCAUCUUGAGUUUUGAAACUAAUAUGUCAGCUAUUCGUGAUGUUAUUAAGUUCAUUAUCAUUAAAACUAUGAAAACUGUUCCCUUUAGUCUACGUACUGGAUCUCAAAUAACAAAACUUCUUUCAGUUUUGAUGAUGAUAAAGAGACUAGCUUAGCCUCGUUUUCACCAGAUUAAGUUUGUUUCCAUGUCUGUUUUUGUUUCUUGCUGUUUAGUUUUGUUUAAAAUCUGGACAUACUGAAACAAUUCAAGAUUGCCAGGCAAAAAAAAGAGUCGAGAUUCAGGCUACUGUAGUGGUGGUUGAUACACUAGAAAAAAAUGAAUUUAAACCUUCACUACAACACUUGGUCAAUUAUCUGACUUCUAUGAACGAGACUCCUAAUCCAUCUAAGCACUGGCAAAUGUUCUUCAGGGUGGAAAAGCAUUGAUGAAUAUGGUGUCCGCCAAAGGUUUAUGGCCCUGUUUGACAGUAGGUUUUAUUGUUGUUCGUCUGCAUGCUCUUCGAUUUAAGCAGUCUUCUCGAUUACUGGAGAACACAAGGAUUAAGUCCUGCUUCCACUUAUGAUGUGGGAUGAAGGUUUUCUGUGUAGCUCUGACCAAACUACAACCCCUCCAAAGUCAGAUGCUGGCAUUUAAGUUCGUUCUUCAUCAGUUUUAAUGCCAAGUAUUCAUCAGUUUUAUGUAUCCAACCUAGUCAACUAAGUUCCAAGUCUUUUCAUCAGGUGAAUGGCAAGGGAUGUUGGGGUUCAUAUGAUUUACAUAUAGAUAAAAACUCAAUUUUUCCUCCCAUAGCAGUUACUUCCAUGUACUUCUAGAAUUAUGAAUAUCAUAUAAUUAGUUGAUCAGGCAGUACUAUUAUGAAAUACAAUCUACUGUAUAAAGUGCUUAUUAACUAAAUUUAAUCUACUUCCUCUGAUUUAUGCCAAUGAUUUUUUUAAGAUGGUGCUACAUAUUUGUUCGUUGGUGAUGGACCUCAACAAUCCGGCGUUUCCAAUAUGUUGGUGUCUGAUCGAGGUAGGAACUAAAGUAUUCUUGAAGAGCCUACAGAAUCAUAACGGAGAUGCAGUUCUUGCUACAGUUGUAAGUUGUAAUCCUAAAUUUAAACUUGAUGGUGCUGAACUUACAAAUGAAUAAUGGGAAGUGCAUGUCGAUACGGCACUUGUGAAAACUUAAGUCUUGGUACGAAGUUGCAAAAGCUGCAAUAUUCGUGGUAAUGCAGAAAAACAAAGAUUGUACGACCUUCAACCCUUUGUACGUUCAAAGGAUGAAUGGAUGAUAUGGGUAUGUGGCAAGUACACUACAAUGAUGAUGAUGAUGUUCCUGUUCCUGAUGAUGAUGAUGAUGGAUGUUUUCAGUUUUAGUUUAGUUGUAGGGAUGUUCCUGUUAGAUGAUCUUCCUUGUUCAAGUGUUUAGUUGUAGUGAUGUUGUUGGAUGCUUUCAGUGUAAGUUUAGUUGUCAAAUAAUUAUGUAGAUUAUGCAUCACA